UACGAAGGUCCCAAGCGUUAUCCGGAUUUAUUGGGUUUAAAGGGUGCGUAGGCGGGCUGUGAAGUCAGUGGUGAAAGCUCCAUGCCUAACAUGGAAAAUGCCAUUGAUACUGACGGUCUUGAGUACAUUUGAAGUGGGCGGAAUGUGUCAUGUAGCGGUGAAAUGCUUAGAUAUGGCACAGAACACCGAUUGCGUAGGCAGCUCACUAAGCUGUAACUGACGCUGAGGCACGAAAGCGUGGGGAGCAAACAGG
Molecule: ribosomal RNA, 253 nt
Filed under: uncultured bacterium
Lineage: Bacteria
Description: partial 16S ribosomal RNA
Rfam family: Bacterial small subunit ribosomal RNA
Source: RNAcentral